UACGUAGGGCGCAAGCGUUGUCCGGAAUCACUGGGCGUAAAGCGCACGUAGGCGGAUAUGUCAGUCAGGGGUGAAAUCCCGGGGCUCAACCUCGGAACUGCCUUUGAUACUGCAAAUCUCGAGUCCGGAAGAGGUGAGUGGAAUUCCUAGUGUAGAGGUGAAAUUCGUAGAUAUUAGGAAGAACACCAGUGGCGAAGGCGGCUCACUGGUCCGGUACUGACGCUGAGGUGCGAAAGCGUGGGGAGCAAACAGG
This 253-nucleotide ribosomal RNA is filed under the name uncultured bacterium. Its description in RNAcentral is "partial 16S ribosomal RNA". It matches the Rfam family "Bacterial small subunit ribosomal RNA", at positions 524 to 776 of the family's 1533-position model. The record is from RNAcentral.